AGAAGUUGCUGCUGGAAAUAUUUAGCAUUGCUGGGGCUGGGGGGCUUGACACCCACAGGCUUAUAAUCCUUCCUGAGUUUCAUCCUAUCUCACAGGUUCUCCCCAACUUCAUGGCCUUUGCCUAUCUAGGAGCCUCAGACACAUAGACUGGACCAAGGCUGCAACCUCAUGAUGGGCAGGUGUAGGUCUAGCUCCUGCAUGAGCUCAACAUCUGGGCCUCUCUGAGCUGCACAGCUGAAGAAAGAAACAAGAUGUCUAUAGCCUCACCCACUUGAUAAGAGUUGGACUUUACAAUGGAUGCCCUUUUUUCCACUCCAGAGUAGUUAGAGGGACCAGCUAGAUGUCAGGGCUGGGAGAGAUGUUAGGCCCUCUAGGAAAAGAAAGCAAAGCCAGGCUGGCAUGUUCUCUCUGAGAUGACAAGAGUCCCCAUCCCCUUGUGAUGUCAUCAUACUAUCCUGUUGUCCUGAAAUGAUGAAUUCGACAAAGGAAUUCCAAUCCAUGGCCACUGCUUGGAACUAGACAGGAACAUUCCUCCAGCCUCCAUAAUCCUUCCCUUCCCCUACUCUGAGGAAUCUUCUCACCUUUCAUUAGACUCUAAGUUCCUUGGAGAGUCAGUACUCACAGGGAGUACUUUUAGGAUCAACACUUGGGGUUGGGAGAAGAGGGAAGCAGGAUUGGGUAGAAGAAGAAGCUGGGCUGCAAUGAAGUCCCAAUGAAGACCUCAGCUGACCUUGCAUGGAGCCAGCAUCCCAUCCAGGAUACCUGUUACAUUUACUUGUCAUAUCUCCUCAAGCUUCUCUUGGCUAUGACAGUUUUUUAGACUUUCCUUGAUUUUGAUGACCUUGACAGUUUUGAGGAGUUCUGGGCCCGAUAUUGCAGGAUGCCUCCUUAUUGAAAUUUGUCUGAUGUUUCCUCAUGAUUAGAUUGGGGUUGUGAGUUUUGGGGGGAAGGUAACAGAGGAAAAGUGUCAUCUUCAUCACAUUGUAUUAAAGGUACAUAUUAGUGACAUGA
Molecule: long non-coding RNA, 1011 nt
Organism: Symphalangus syndactylus (siamang)
Lineage: Eukaryota; Metazoa; Chordata; Mammalia; Primates; Hylobatidae
Source: RefSeq, a predicted model, not a curated record